Molecule: ribosomal RNA, 253 nt
Filed under: uncultured bacterium
Lineage: Bacteria
Description: partial 16S ribosomal RNA
Rfam family: Bacterial small subunit ribosomal RNA
Source: RNAcentral
UACGGAGGGUGCGAGCGUUGUUCGGAAUUACUGGGCGUAAAGCGCGUGUAGGCGGCCUUUUAAGUUUGAUGUGAAAGCCCGGGGCUCACCCCCGGAAGUGCAUCGGAUACUGGAGGGCUCGAGUACCGGAGAGGAGGGUGGAAUUCCUGGUGUAGCGGUGAAAUGCGUAGAUAUCAGGAGGAACACCGGUGGCGAAGGCGGCCCUCUGGACGGAUACUGACGCUGAGACGCGAAAGCGUGGGGAGCAAACAGG